UUUAUACAGACAGGUAGCAACAACAAUAGACAGCCGGGCUCCGUUGCUGAAGCGUCGAAGUUCUACACCUACAAGAAGUACACUUACUUCAAGUAUUGCAGACAAUUAAGACAAUGGAUGCAGAGCUGAGGGACUUCUUACGUAAGCGGAAAAUUCCUGAGGAGUUUAUCCAACAGCUCGAAAAUGAAAAGAUUGAUGCAUCUGUAAUUCCUGUAAUGACUGAUGGGGAUUUGGCAAAGUACAUCCCUAAAUGUGGAGAUAGAUUAGCCACUGUGGCCUUCUGCCGACAAGCCAGCGCAUCGAUGGAGACAAGGAGCAGGAAAGACUCUAUACUCAAAAGGCUGCGACAUAGAUUGGUGUCUAGUGAGGUGACAGUACCUGCCAGAAAAAAGCAAUGGGUCGGAAAUACAAGUGCAAAAAAAAACG
This is a long non-coding RNA of Epinephelus fuscoguttatus (brown-marbled grouper), 426 nucleotides long. RefSeq lists it as uncharacterized. The record is from RefSeq and is a predicted model, not a curated record. NCBI's taxonomy places the organism in Eukaryota, Metazoa, Chordata, Actinopteri, Perciformes, Serranidae. The transcript has 3 exons.